GUUGUCUCCCAUCAGUGAUUUUUCCCAGGUCGGAGAUGGCCCUGGAAACGGUGCCCAAAGAUCUGCGGCAUCUGCGCGCUUGUUUGCUAUGUUCGCUGGUCAAGACGAUAGACCAGUUUGAAUACGACGGCUGUGACAAUUGUGACGCCUACCUGCAGAUGAAGGGUAACCGAGAGAUGGUGUAUGACUGCACCAGCUCUUCCUUUGAUGGAAUCAUUGCAAUGAUGAGUCCAGAGGACAGCUGGGUCUCCAAGUGGCAGCGAGUUAGUAAGUAUUUCUCUCCUUAUUCUCCCUAGACAUGUCACUCAAUCUGGGGAAUAGGGGUCUUUAAAUCAGUGGGGUGAGCAGGAUGAGGGUGAGAAGAUUGAUUGUAAAAUCUCCUGUGUUCAGUCAUUUAAUACUUACCACCCAAUGAAGUGCUCUCAUGGAAAUGCAGCAUAUUUCAUUUUCAACAUAAAGCCUCCAUUUGACCUUUAAGGUAUUAUUUUUUCUUUUUGUUUUGUUUGUGUUUUAGAACCACUGUCAGUGGUGCUCAGGGAUUACAGUGGGGUCACAGUUGCCUUACUUCUUACUCCAUGUACUGUCUCUUCAGCACUUGAUGUCUAGUCUUGAUGCUCUCAACUGUAAUCUCUUCUGUUCUCUCAGGUAACUUUAAGCCAGGUGUCUAUGCAGUAUCCGUCACUGGCCGCCUGCCUCAAGGAAUUGUUCGCGAGCUGAAGAGUCGAGGAGUGGCCUACAAAUCCAGAGACACAGCUAUAAAGACCUAGCCAGAGUAGUAGUUGCCAUCCUUCUUGCCCAACCAUUUGCCUCUUAUUUUUUCAUUGUGGAACUAAAUGGGCAGAACAUCAAAAUGUCCACACUCUCCAAUUCUGAAACUUCACAGACUGUCUGGAGAGCAGUGUGGCAUGCCCUUAGGGCUGGUGUACGUGCCCCUGGAUCAUUUUCCACCUCUGAACUGCUGGUGGUGUGGGUGGGGUUUGGGUUGGGAAUUAACAGAGAUUGAACUGAAUUGGGGAUAGGAUGCUGGUUUCCUACCAAUGCCCAGAGCUCUGCCUUUGGGUUAAAUGUCAAUAAAUGCAAAAGUUUUAAAUCUGGAAAGUUCUUAAAUUUGUGACAGUGGUAUUGUCUCCCUCCCUUUUGCUCUUGGAUGCAUCAGCACUAAUCCUGUGAGCACCUCCCUUGAACAGCAGAGGGUUUUCUGCUCUGCAUUAUCUAGCUCUGAGCCCUAUGGUUCCAGCCUGUCUACUGCACUCACCUUGGGGUGUUUAUUGGGGGGAAGGCCACCAAAAUAGAGUCUUAGCAAACCCCUUGGCCUGUUAGAAGUGAUGUAUGAUACCUGCACCUUUCCUUUCUGCCUCCAGACCUGACACAGCAGCUGCCCAUUACAGACAUUCUGGGGCUUAGUAACAUUUUCCCUAUUUUUCUGUUUUUACUAUUUUUCUUUGGGCCAUCCUGUGGUACAUGUGACCUCUUGUUCCCUCCCUCAUCUGCAUUUCCCUAACUGGAGACCCUCUGCUAACUGUGGGGCCUACUUCUGGCUCUCCUACUUCCAUAGGAUCUGGCCUUGACCCUUUCCCUCCAAUCUAGAAUGGGGUCUGGAAUGAUACCACAUUAUUGGUCAAAUAAAAUUACUUGUUUUAGAAUUUAAAA
Molecule: RNA transcript, 1650 nt
Organism: Suncus etruscus (white-toothed pygmy shrew)
Lineage: Eukaryota; Metazoa; Chordata; Mammalia; Eulipotyphla; Soricidae
Gene: SUPT4H1
Gene name: SPT4 homolog, DSIF elongation factor subunit
Exons: 4
Source: RefSeq, a predicted model, not a curated record